Long non-coding RNA from Strigops habroptila (Kakapo), 3473 nucleotides. RefSeq lists it as uncharacterized. The record is from RefSeq and is a predicted model, not a curated record. The transcript has 3 exons. Lineage: Eukaryota; Metazoa; Chordata; Aves; Psittaciformes; Psittacidae.
GGGGCCCGCCCCUGCGGCGCCCGCCCUGCCGCUCGUAAAGCGGGGAGGGUUGUGUUGGUAACUGCUUUGGCGACGCUGUUUCGGCUUUCGCUGUGGCCUGGGCUCGGGCUCUUCUGGGUUUUUUGCUGGUUGUGCUCCGUGCGAGGGAAUCGUCCUUGUGUGCUUUGUGCUUGAGAAGAGGGGCAUAACAUGGGUGGAGACAGCUGUGUGGGAAGAAGACUGAGUGGCUGCUGAACCUCUGUGGCUAAGUUGGACAUAGACUGUCUCAUAAAACACCUGCUUCGAAGCACCACGACUGUGUUAGCUGGGAAGGAAGAAUGAAUUCCAGGAGGAGGAAUCUCCACUGAUCAUGCCUCUUCCCAGCAUCUAGACAUUCAAACCCAGAUACCUGCAACCAAGAACUUGAUUUUGACAAUUAAGUAAAAAGAGUGGUGGACUUUCUCAGGUAAACCAGGCAAGAUGAGCUGUAUUCCCUGGAGAAUAAGCUAUUUGGUUUUAUAGCACAAUAUUGCCUCCAGGGAUGACCAUUUAUGCUACUUUUACUGGAUUGUUACAGGAAUAAUAUUAUCAUAUAACUGAUUGCUUUUUCACCAGCAGCACCUACCUCCUACAUACUACACCUUCAUUUGCACUUCUUGACAACUCUUGCGCAGCAGCAUGCAGAUCCCUUUUGGCCUAGCACAGCAGAUGGGAUGCCUUGGCUUAUGCUUGAAACUAAAAGGCAAGUUUUGUAACAUUUUGCUGUGUAUUUUCAUGUGCUAGUAGCAGGAGCAUGUGAUACUAAUUCCUGAGGUACAGCAUCACUCCUACUCCCAUCACUCCUACUCCCAUGACAAGCCUUUUCUGAACAGGUUCAGCCAGCUUUGCAACUGCAGCAGUCAUUUUUCCCUGAUACUUAUAGACAGGGUCUAGAAUAAUACUGUCAAACCACCUUUCAGAUCUUAUGGGUAAAGGAGGAUCUGCAAAUGUGAAAGGCUAGUAUCAUAAUAUCUUCUAAUGCCAUAGUAUCAUAUAAUGCUAGUUCCUCGGUUCCUUGAUUUAACAUCCUAGUACUAAAAAGCUUCUAUGGACUUUCAGGGCAGUUUUGAGUAAUGUCAUUAAAAUUGUCACAGGAGCUAAUGUCUUUAAAUAUUUCAUUCUUUUAUGUUUAGGUUUUAAUUAUUCCUUGUUUAAUUCUCUCUGAAAAUGAGUGCUCUUUUCCAGCAAAGAAGAAUGUGAAUUACACAUGGGGUUUAUGUUUGUAUUUUCAUUUUCUUCAGAAAUUGCUGUAUGAACGAAUCACAGGGGCCACAUUUUGACCAACAGAUUACUCAGCUCAACCACCCACUAGAUUGGUCCAUGUGUCACUCAUGGAACUUGUGUAAUUUCCAUCUCUGAAAAUCUUCGGUUACAGAGCAAACACUCUGAGGAAUAACAUACACAAAAUCUAGGACAGAGCAAUAGUCUAUGUCACUGUUUCUCAGCCUUUUUUUAGGUGAAGAACAAGCCAGACUUUAAGCAAAGAAAGAUAUACCUUAUCUCGUUUUGUCAUAUUUUUUUUCUUGUAUGGCUAAACAACACAUGGGCUAAAAUGGGAUCAUUCAUGCUGUAGUUGUUUUACUAUAAUUUUUAUUCAUUUACUUAUACUUGGCUGUACAUUUUGCUAACAUUAUGGGGUUUAAAAUCAUUUGGUAAACGUGCCAUCUAAGAUCUGAUGAGCCAGUGGUGAAAAGGGUUUGAGAAGCAUUCAGCUAAGGACUUCUGCAGGUCCUUUUAAUCCAUUUACUUUACAACUCUUUGAUAUGUAGGUGUUCCCUAGCACACAACUUGCACCAUUCACUCCAGAGUAAUAAGAGUGAUCAAGGGAAUGAAAUAACCCAGUACUGUUGAAUCGAAUUCUGAUAUAGCAAAAAGAAAUGCAGAUGUUUCCUAUAUGCAGGCUUCCCAGGUGGUUAGUUGACAGUUUAGGCAAAUGUUAUUUUCUUGCACUGUUAAUCAUUUCUUGUUAAGUGUGUCAUAAUACAUUUAUUUACAGAAUCUAACAUUGCAUUGACAGCAGGGAGUACGGUGCACUCUUUGUGAAGUCAGUCUGAAGAUUGUUAUUUAAAGCAGUAUCAAAGAUGAAGAAGAUAGGGGCUUAGCUCGCAUGAGGUGAUGAGGGAAAUUGCAUUGAGACAACAGAGCAAGAGGUUAGCUUCCUGCGCUCUGGCAUGGAGAGAUAUGAGAAGCAAAAGGGUACAGUAGUAAAUCAUGGGAUAAUGGCAUCAUAGUGUCAUAGAGUCAUAGAAUAGUUUGGGUUGGAAGGGACCUUCAAAGGUCAUCAUGUUAUUUCAUAGGAUGUCCUGGAAAAACAAAUGGAAGUAGAACAGUAUUAUGUCUUUCACAUGCACUGUAAGCAUCUACAGAGUGAUUCAGAGACCCAUGUGCUGAAGAUGGGCUUUAAAUAGAAAACUGGGGAGAAGAGGGGGGUGAGAUGCCCUGUUAACUCCAGUAGUGACACCACUAACUCCACUAGAAACCCUAUUUUGAAAUGAUCUCCUGAGAGUAUGAAACAUAACUGGUUAUUCUCUCAUCCAAAAGUCAUAGCAGCUCAAGAGCAUUCAAAAAGUUGAUUGUUCUGUGUACAGGAAGCCCUUGAGGCGACUCGUGCAAGGAAAACCCUGAAAUGGAGGCAUGAGGAAAAUGGAGGCUUUCUUUUUCAUCACUGUUUUAAAGCCAGCAGAGCACCACUGGCAUCAGCUUUCUGCAUCAGAUGGGGAAGUAGGUAUCUUCUCUCACAAGAUAAGCUGCUGUUGGAGAGAAGCAACAGCCUGAAGUUGCUUGGAGCAACUCGAGAUAGGCUGGAAAUAUGCGGUAUGUGAUGUCUUUAGCUGGGCCCUACGGCAUAUACACCCAGCAAGCUCUCAAGAGCGGUUUGAAAACCACUCUUUCAAUUGAAUGCAUGUAACGCCAAGAAGAAAUACUCAGUGAUGGAGGAAGUUUUCCUACACUUCAAAAGGCAAUGCGACAAAGGUCUAACAGUGCAGUAUCCUAAUUCCCAGUGUGCAUGUUCACAUUGCAGAGACAUGGGGAAAAGUCCCUGUGUUUGAUACCAGCAGUGGAUGAUACCAUUCUGUUGAUGUCCUCAUCUGUCCCAGUUCUGCAAUGUUACUUCUCAAGUUUCCUCCAUAAUCCAUAGAGUUAGGAAGCAUUUCCCAGCUAUAUGCUGCUCUGAAUAAUAUAGUAUUUGUAUUGUAAUUUUCUUUUCUGAAUGACAAAUUAUGUACUGAUUCUCUAUCAUGAAAACUUGAGUGAGUCUGGAAACAGCAUUUGUGCAUGUUCAGUGUAUCAUAUUGAUCAUAAUAGGGAGAAAGCCAAGAGAAGCCUUCUCCAUAGAAACACAAGGUACAGUGGGAACGCCAAGUCUUCUCUCAGUGAUAAAUGGCACUGACACUGUGAUUUCUCUGCUCUUGUAGUCUCUGGAGGUAUCUCUAUGGAAUAAAAUUUUUAUUAAC